Non-coding RNA from Camellia sinensis, 2249 nucleotides. The record is from RefSeq and is a predicted model, not a curated record. NCBI's taxonomy places the organism in Eukaryota, Viridiplantae, Streptophyta, Magnoliopsida, Ericales, Theaceae.
AUUCAGUAAUUAGGGUUUAUGAUCGGUAGCGAGCGGCGGCAGUGGCGAUCGAAGUCAAACUCUCAACUGUCGGUGUCUCAAAAACCCUAGAAGCUUACUUUCGCAGAAGACUUUUCAUUACGUUCGUCAGAGACUCUCCAUCGUCUUCACCAUACUAUCCAGAUAAUGGAUCAAUCAACCUAUUGCCCAGGAUGCUAUUGCUAUUCCCCCUUCUACUAUCCAAGACCCUAUUGAUAAUCCUUCAAAACCACCUAAGGUGCGUGCAACGACAUUAUAAUAGUGGCUACAAAGCAUGGGGUGCUUAGCAAACGAACCAACUUGAGGAGAGUUGUUCUAGCAUCUUUCACAUUUUAAUCAAUGAUCAAGAUUUAUUAAUGGUAUAGCCCCAAAAUAAGAAAUUUAAACAUACACUUUAGAUUUAAAAUUUUGAGUAAAUUUCUACAAUUAUAUAUAUAUAUAUAUAAAUGGUGCAAAGUCAAGGUAUGGCAAGUCAAUAAAUUUUCGUGGAGUGUAUGGGAUGGUUGGGAAUAUUCCAUCGUUGGCAUGCUAACAAGAAAAGUCUGCCAACUCAUAAUAAUUUCAUUCAUUCUAUUAAAACUACCUUCCUUAUAUUAUAUAAGGAUAUACAAUAAUAUUUCCAAAAUAAAAAUAUACAAUAAUAUUAAAUAUUUAAUAUGAUAUUUUCCUUUCUUGUUGACUCAUCUUCAUUACCUAUAUAUACAUAUUGCACAACCACCUUCUCAUACAAAAAAGAAAGACAAAACAAUGGCAAAAGGAUUCAAGAUUUUGAUCUCCCAAAUCAUCUCAUCCUUCCAAGUCUGCCGCUCCAAAAAUCCUACCAACUUCCCAGAAAAUCUUGUCCCUUCAUUCCUCCAACUCUCCCCAAACCCUGUCUUCAUUGACUGCCUGCUGGUAACCCCGUCCCCUUUCAAACCCCACCACUCCUCCUUCAAGUGCCACGUGUCCUCUAUCUUCUCAUCUGUCGGCUAUGGGUUCAGCAAACAGUACACCUCUAAAAAUGACCUCACCGAAUCAUCGGAAUUCAAAUGGGACGAGACGCCGCGUCACGAAAUCUACAACUCCUCCAUCUCCAACUAAAAUGAGAUCUUGAUGUAAAAAGUGAUAUUUUGCGACGGCCAAACAAUCAAUCGCAAAAAAAUAGAUGCAAAAAGUCAUUUCUAGUAGUGUAUAAUGUUUGCCAUAUCAUCAUCCACAGCUCCACCACAACGUAUUAUCCUCUUGUAGCUUUCGUGACGUGACGUCUUGUCCCACUUGAAUUUCGGUGAUUCGGUGAGGUCGUCUUCAGAGGUGUACUAUGUGCCGAACCCACAGCCGACGGAUGAGAAGAUGGAGGACACGUGGUGCUUGAAGGAGGAGCGGUGGGGUUUGAAAGGGGGUGGGGUUGCCGGUGGACAGUGAAUGAAGACGGGGUUUGGGUAGAGUUGGAGGAAUAAAGGGACAGGAUUUUCUGGGAAGUUGGAAGGGUUUUUGGAGCGGCAGAAUUGGAAGGAUGAGACGAUUUGGGAGAUCAAAACCUUGAAUCCUCUUGCUAUUGUUUUGUCUUUCUUUUUUUUGCAUGAGAAAGUGGUUGCUUGUACGGAUUAGCUAUUGCAAUAUGUAUGUAUAUAUAGGCAAUGAAGCUGAGUCAACAAGAAAGGAAUGUAUUUUUAUUUUGAAAAUAUUAUUGUAUAUCCUUGUAUAAUAUAAGGAAGGUAGUUUUAAUAGAAUGAAAGAAAUAAUUUUAUUUUGGAAAUAUUAUUGUAUAUCCUUGUAUAAUAUAAGGAAGGUAAUUUUAAUAGAAUGAAAGAAAUAAUUAUGAGUUGACAGUCUUUUCUUGUUAACAUGCCAAGGAUGGUAUAUUCCCAACCAUCCCAUACACUCCACGAAAAUUUAUUAACUUGCCAUACCUUCACUUUGCACCAUAUAUAUAUAUAUAUAAAACUGUAGAAAUUUACUCAAAAUUUUAAAUCUAAAGUGUAUAAUUAAAUUUCUUAUUUUGGGGUUAUACCAUAAAUAAAUCUUGAUCAUUGAUUAAAAUGUGAAAGAUGCUGGAACAACUCUCCUCAAGUUGGUUCGUUUGCUAAGCACCCCAUGCUUUGUAGCCACUGUUAUAAUGUCGUUGCACGCACCUUAGGUGGUUUUGAAGGAUUAUCAAUAGGGUCUUGGAUAGUAGAAGGGGGAAUAGCAAUAGCAUCCUGGGCAGUAGGUUGAUUGAUCCAUUAUCUAUUAGAAAUUAAAAUAAAAAAAAA